RNAcentral lists this ribosomal RNA (497 nucleotides) under uncultured bacterium. RNAcentral's name for it is "partial 16S ribosomal RNA". It matches the Rfam family "Bacterial small subunit ribosomal RNA", at positions 28 to 507 of the family's 1533-position model. The record is from RNAcentral.
GAUGAACGCUGGCGGCGUGCCUAAUACAUGCAAGUCGAGCGAACAGACGAGGAGCUUGCUCCUCUGACGUUAGCGGCGGACGGGUGAGUAACACGUGUAUAACCUACCUAUAAGACUGGGAUAACUUCGGGAAACCGGAGCUAAUACCGGAUAAUAUAUUGAACCGCAUGGUUCAAUAGUGAAAGACGGUUUUGCUGUCACUUAUAGAUGGAUCCGCGCCGCAUUAGCUAGUUGGGAAGGUAACGGCUUACCAAGGCAACGAUGCGUAGCCGACCUGAGAGGGUGAUCGGCCACACUGGAGCUGAGCCGCGGUCCAGACUCCUACGGGAGGCAGCAGUAGGGAAUCUUCCGCAAUAGGCGAAAGCCUGACGGAGCAACGCCGCGUGAGUGAUGAAGGUCUUCGGAUCGUAAAACUCUGUUAUUAGGGAAGAACAAAUGUGUAAGUAAAUAUGCACGUCUUGACGGUACCUAAUCAGAAAGCCACGGCUAACUACGUG